This 215-nucleotide long non-coding RNA is filed under the name Ovis aries (sheep). Its description in RNAcentral is "lncRNA (ENSOARG00000025671.1)". The record is from RNAcentral. Lineage: Eukaryota; Metazoa; Chordata; Mammalia; Artiodactyla; Bovidae.
AACAAAUAGUAAUAGGAGACUACUAGGAGACAAACAUUCUUUAAUUCCUGGUUGUGCCUUGCAUGUGAAGUGACACGUAAUAAUUUUACACUCUUGGAAGCUCUCUGUUGCCUCACUUAGUCUGUACCUGAGAAAAUGGAACAAUUGAUCAAAUUAAUGCAUUUGGGAAGCAAACCUUGGUGUGCAUUUUAGGCUCCAGAAAAAGAAUCUUCUUU